RNAcentral lists this ribosomal RNA (849 nucleotides) under uncultured Arthrobacter sp. Its description in RNAcentral is "bacterial SSU rRNA". It matches the Rfam family "Bacterial small subunit ribosomal RNA", at positions 56 to 919 of the family's 1533-position model. Lineage: Bacteria; Bacillati; Actinomycetota; Actinomycetes; Micrococcales; Micrococcaceae. The record is from RNAcentral.
UGNAAGUCGAACGAUGAAGCCCACUUGUGGGUGGAUUAGUGGCGAACGGGUGAGUAACACGUGAGUAACCUGCCCUUAACUCUGGGAUAAGCCUGGGAAACUGGGUCUAAUACCGGAUAUGACUGACCGUCGCAUGGUGGUUGGUGGAAAGCUUUUUUGUGGUUUUGGAUGGACUCGCGGCCUAUCAGCUUGUUGGUGAGGUAAUGGCUUACCAAGGCGACGACGGGUAGCCGGCCUGAGAGGGUGACCGGCCACACUGGGACUGAGACACGGCCCAGACUCCUACGGGAGGCAGCAGUGGGGAAUAUUGCACAAUGGGCGCAAGCCUGAUGCAGCGACGCCGCGUGAGGGAUGACGGCCUUCGGGUUGUAAACCUCUUUCAGUAGGGAAGAAGCGAAAGUGACGGUACCUGCAGAAGAAGCGCCGGCUAACUACGUGCCAGCAGCCGCGGUAAUACGUAGGGCGCAAGCGUUAUCCGGAAUUAUUGGGCGUAAAGAGCUCGUAGGCGGUUUGUCGCGUCUGCCGUGAAAGUCCGGGGCUCAACUCCGGAUCUGCGGUGGGUACGGGCAGACUAGAGUGAUGUANGGGAGACUGGAAUUCCUGGUGUAGCGGUGAAAUGCGCAGAUAUCANGAGGAACACCGAUGGCGAANGCAGGUCUCUGGGCAUUAACUGACGCUGANGAGCGAAAGCAUGGGGAGCGAACAGGANUAGAUACCCUGGUAGUCCAUGCCGNAAACGUUGGGCACUNNNGUGGGGGACAUUCCACGUUUUCCGCGCCGUANCUAACGCAUUAAGUGCCCCGCCUGGGGANUANGGCCNCANGGCUAAACUCAANGAAUUGACGGGGG